GCUGAGGCCCCAGGGUGGGACCGCGGCCUAUCAGGUAGUAGGUGGGGUAACGGCCCACCUAGCCUACGACGGGUACGGGCCCUGAGAGGGGGAGCCCGGAGAUGGGCACUGAGACAAGGGUCUAGGCCCUAAGGGGCGCAGCAGGCGCGAGGAUUCCGCAAUGCCCGAAAGGGCGACGGAGUGAACCCGAGUGCCACCCGCUGAGGGUGGCUGUUCCCCUGUGUAAAAAGCAGGGGGCAGGAAGGGGAGGGCAAGGCUGGUGGCAGCCGCCGCGGUAAAACCAGCUCCCCGAGGGGUUCCCACGCAUACUGGGCCUAAAGCGUCCGUAGCCGGCCCUGUAAGUCUGCAGUUAAAUCCGCCUGUAGACAGGCGGGUUGCUGCAGAUACUGCAGGGCUAGGGAGCGGGAGGAGCCGGGGGUAUUCCCGGGGGAGCGGUAAAAUGCGUAGAUCCCGGGAGGACCACCAGUGGCGAAGGCGCCCGGCUUGAACGCGUCCGACGGUGAGGGACGAAAGCUGGGGGAGCAAACCGGAUUAGAUACCCGGGUAGUCCCAGCCGUAAACGAUGCCGGCUAGGUGCUGGCCAAGGUUUCGGCCUUGGCCAGUGUCGAAGCGAAGGCAUUAAGCCGGCCGCCUGAGGAGUACGGCCGCAAGGCUGAAACUUGAAGGAAUUGACGGGGGGGCACCACAAGGGGUGAAUGCCUGCGGCUUAAUUGGACUCAACGCCGGGAAUCUUACCGGGGGCGACAGCAGGACGAAGGUCAGGCUGAAGACCUUACCAGACGCGCUGAGGGGUGGUGCAUGGCCGUCGCCAGCUCGUGCCGUGAGGUGUCCUGUUAAGUCAGGCAACGAGCGAGACCCCCGCCCCUAGUUGCCAGCGGCCUCCUUCGGGAGGGACCGGGCAAACUAGGGGGACCGCCUCCGAAGAGGAGGAGGAAGGUGGGGGCUACGGCAGGUCAGUAUGCCCCUAAUCCCCCGGGCCGCACGCGGGCUGCAAUGGGCGGGACAGCGGGAUG
Molecule: ribosomal RNA, 1013 nt
Filed under: uncultured korarchaeote
Lineage: Archaea; Thermoproteati; Thermoproteota
Description: bacterial SSU rRNA
Rfam family: Archaeal small subunit ribosomal RNA
Source: RNAcentral